GGGGGGAUAGCUCAGUGGUACAACACGUGCUUGGCAUGCACAAGGUCCUGGGUUCAAUCCCCAGUGCCUCCC
Transfer RNA from Camelus ferus (Wild Bactrian camel), 72 nucleotides. It matches the Rfam family "tRNA". From Rfam's summary of the family: Transfer RNA (tRNA) molecules are approximately 80 nucleotides in length. Their secondary structure includes four short double-helical elements and three loops (D, anti-codon, and T loops). NCBI's taxonomy places the organism in Eukaryota, Metazoa, Chordata, Mammalia, Artiodactyla, Camelidae. The record is from Rfam.